GACGAACGCUGGCGGCGUGCCUAAUACAUGCCAGUCGAACGCAUUUUCUUUCACCGUAGCUUGCUACACCGAAAGAAAAUGAGUGGCGAACGGGUGAGUAACACGUGGGUAACCUGCCCAUCAGCGGGGGAUAACACUUGGAAACAGGUGCUAAUACCGCAUAAUUCCAUUUACCGCAUGGUAAAUGGAUGAAAGGCGCUUUUGCGUCACUGAUGGAUGGACCCGCGGUGCAUUAGCUAGUUGGUGGGGUAACGGCCUACCAAGGCUGCGAUGCAUAGCCGACCUGAGAGGGUGAUCGGCCACACUGGGACUGAGACACGGCCCAGACUCCUACGGGAGGCAGCAGUAGGGAAUCUUCGGCAAUGGACGCAAGUCUGACCGAGCAACGCCGCGUGAUUGAAGAAGGGUUUCGGAUCGUAAAACUCUGUUGUUAGAGAAGAACAAGGAUGAGAGUGGAAAGUUCAUCCCUUGACGGUAUCUAACCAGAAAGCCACGGCUAACUACGUG
This 507-nucleotide ribosomal RNA is filed under the name uncultured bacterium. Its description in RNAcentral is "partial 16S ribosomal RNA". It matches the Rfam family "Bacterial small subunit ribosomal RNA", at positions 28 to 507 of the family's 1533-position model. The record is from RNAcentral.